Molecule: transfer RNA, 69 nt
Filed under: Danio roseus
Lineage: Eukaryota; Metazoa; Chordata; Actinopteri; Cypriniformes; Danionidae
Description: tRNA-Asp
Rfam family: tRNA
About the family: Transfer RNA (tRNA) molecules are approximately 80 nucleotides in length.
Source: RNAcentral
AAGACAUUAGUAAAAACAUUACAUCACCUUGUCAAGAUGAAAUUAUAGGUUAAACCCCUGUAUGCCUUA